UCCGGUUUGGCACCGGCAGUCCCUCCAGAGUCCCCGGCAUUACCCGCUGGUAACUGGAGAUGAGGGUUGCGCUCGUUGCGGGACUUAACCCAACAUCUCACGACACGAGCUGACGACAGCCAUGCAGCAUCUGUGCUGGAACUCCGAAGAGGGGCUCACGUUUCUGCAAGCUUUCUCCAGCAUGUCAAGCCCAGGUAAGGUUCUUCGCGUUGCGUCGAAUUAAACCACAUGCUCCACCGCUUGUGCGGGCCCCCGUCAAUUCCUUUGAGUUUCAGCCUUGCGGCCGUACUCCCCAGGCGGGGUACUUCAUGCGUUAGCGCCGGCACCCAGGGGGUCGCUCCCCCAGACACCUAGUACCCAUCGUUUACGGCGUGGACUAC
This 380-nucleotide unclassified non-coding RNA is filed under the name uncultured Gemmatimonadaceae bacterium. Its description in RNAcentral is "contains 16S-23S intergenic spacer region". Lineage: Bacteria; Pseudomonadati; Gemmatimonadota; Gemmatimonadia; Gemmatimonadales; Gemmatimonadaceae. The record is from RNAcentral.